AUAAAUAAAUCAAAACUUUCAACAACGGAUCUCUUGGUUCUGGCAUCGAUGAAGAACGCAGCAAAAUGCGAUAAGUAAUGUGAAUUGCAGAAUUCAGUGAAUCAUCGAAUCUUUGAACGCACAUUGCGCCCGCCAGUAUUCUGGCGGGCAUGCCUGU
RNAcentral lists this ribosomal RNA (157 nucleotides) under Fusarium proliferatum. RNAcentral describes it as "5.8S ribosomal RNA". It matches the Rfam family "5.8S ribosomal RNA". Rfam says of the family: 5.8S ribosomal RNA (5.8S rRNA) is a component of the large subunit of the eukaryotic ribosome. It is transcribed by RNA polymerase I as part of the 45S precursor that also contains 18S and 28S rRNA. The record is from RNAcentral. Lineage: Eukaryota; Fungi; Ascomycota; Sordariomycetes; Hypocreales; Nectriaceae.